This 168-nucleotide ribosomal RNA is filed under the name Petroscirtes breviceps (striped poison-fang blenny mimic). RNAcentral describes it as "partial 12S ribosomal RNA". The record is from RNAcentral. Lineage: Eukaryota; Metazoa; Chordata; Actinopteri; Blenniiformes; Blenniidae.
CACCGCGGUUAUACGAGAGGCCCAAGCUGACAACUCUUCGGCGUAAAGGGUGGUUAAAAUAAUAACUUAUUAAAGUCAAACUCCUCCCUAACUGUUGUACGUAUUUGGAGGAAAGAGGUCCUACUACGAAAGUGACUUUAAACAAUUGAACCCACGAAAGCUAUGGCA